Molecule: ribosomal RNA, 253 nt
Filed under: uncultured bacterium
Lineage: Bacteria
Description: partial 16S ribosomal RNA
Rfam family: Bacterial small subunit ribosomal RNA
Source: RNAcentral
UACAGAGGGUGCGAGCGUUGUCCGGAAUCACUGGGCGUAAAGGGCGCGUAGGCGGCUCAGUAAGCGUGCGGUGAAAGCCCGGGGCUCAACCCCGGGUCGGCCGUGCGAACUGCAGAGCUGGAGCACUGUAGAGGCAGGUGGAAUUCCGGGUGUAGCGGUGGAAUGCGUAGAUAUCAGGAGGAACACCGAUGGCGAAGGCAGAUCUCUGGGCCGUAACUGACGCUGAGGAGCGAAAGCGUGGGGAGCGAACAGG